This 195-nucleotide ribosomal RNA is filed under the name uncultured marine bacterium. RNAcentral's name for it is "partial 16S ribosomal RNA". It matches the Rfam family "Bacterial small subunit ribosomal RNA", at positions 337 to 524 of the family's 1533-position model. The record is from RNAcentral.
UCCUACGGGAGGCAGCAGUGGGGAAUAUUGCACAAUGGGCGAAAGCCUGAUGCAGCCAUGCCGCGUGUGUGAAGAAGGCCUUCGGGUUGCAAAGCACUUUCAGUCAGGAGGAAAGGGUGUGAGUUAAUACCUCACAUCUGUGACGUUACUGACAGAAGAAGCACCGGCUAACUCCGUGCCAGCAGCCGCGGUAAU